GCUGGCGGGUGCUACCAUGCAGUCGAACGAUGAACCCGAAGCUUGCUUUGGGGGAUUAGUGGCGAACGGGUGAGUAACACGUGAGCAACCUGCCCCUCACUCUGGGAUAAGCGCUGGAAACGGCGUCUAAUACUGGAUACGAGACGCGACCGCAUGGUCAGUGUCUGGAAAGAUUUUUUGGUGGGGGAUGGGCUCGCGGCCUAUCAGCUUGUUGGUGAGGUAAUGGCUCACCAAGGCGUCGACGGGUAGCCGGCCUGAGAGGGUGACCGGCCACACUGGGACUGAGACACGGCCCAGACUCCUACGGGAGGCAGCAGUGGGGAAUAUUGCACAAUGGGCGGAAGCCUGAUGCAGCAACGCCGCGUGAGGGAUGACGGCCUUCGGGUUGUAAACCUCUUUUAGCAGGGAAGAAGCGAAAGUGACGGUACCUGCAGAAAAAGCACCGGCUAACUACGUGCCAGAGCGCCGGGGAAAUA
Molecule: ribosomal RNA, 476 nt
Filed under: Microbacterium sp. TW15B
Lineage: Bacteria; Bacillati; Actinomycetota; Actinomycetes; Micrococcales; Microbacteriaceae
Description: bacterial SSU rRNA
Rfam family: Bacterial small subunit ribosomal RNA
Source: RNAcentral